CCUACGGGUGGCAGCAGUGAGGAAUAUUGGUCAAUGGUCGGGAGACUGAACCAGCCAAGUCGCGUGAGGGAGGAAGGUACUACGUAUUGUAAACCUCUUUUGUCAGGGAACAAAGACCGGGACGCGUCCCCGGACGAGAGUACCUGAAGAAAAAGCAUCGGCUAACUCCGUGCCAGCAGCCGCGGUAAUACGGAGGAUGCGAGCGUUAUCCGGAUUUAUUGGGGUUAAAGGGUGCGCAGGCGGUCGUGGAAGGUCAGGGUUAAAAGCGCGGGCCUCAACCCCGCCCCGCCGUUGAAACUGGCAGUCUGGAGUUGGAGAGAAGUAUGCGGAAUGCGCGGUGUAGCGGUGAAAUGCAUAGAUAGCGCGCAGAACUCCGAUUGCGAAGGCAGCAUGCCGGCUCCACACUGACGCUGAGGCACGAAAGCGUGGGUAUCGAACAGGAUUAGAUACCCGUGUAGUC
This 460-nucleotide ribosomal RNA is filed under the name uncultured bacterium. Its description in RNAcentral is "partial 16S ribosomal RNA". It matches the Rfam family "Bacterial small subunit ribosomal RNA", at positions 338 to 795 of the family's 1533-position model. The record is from RNAcentral.